This is a long non-coding RNA of Heterocephalus glaber (naked mole-rat), 481 nucleotides long. NCBI's taxonomy places the organism in Eukaryota, Metazoa, Chordata, Mammalia, Rodentia, Bathyergidae. The record is from Ensembl.
UGUAAGACAGUGGUUGUCCUAAGUAAAUCUAACAAAAAGGCUGUUCUGUGGCAGCCUAACCUUAGCAACCUACAAUAUUUUUUAAAAAUCAAAGCCUUAAAAAACACAAAUGUCAUGACUUUGUAGUGCUGCAUAAUGAAAGAAAUACAUACGUAUUCCAAUAUGGAACUGAACAUUGUUUGAGGCUGGAGCAAUUCAUCGUGUGCUAUUCGGUGCCGCAGUGUCCGGCAAAUUGCAAGAUCUGCUUGUUAGGCUUGACAACAGUGCUGUACCUAACAAAGGCCUCUGCAGCGCCGAGCAGCAGUGGAAUGUUGAGCGCUGGCUGAGUAAUACAUUGCCCUGAAACCCAUAAGCCAGGAGGCGAAAGAAGUUUCAAGGAAGUUAAGCCAGAAGUGUUGGAAAGCAUGCAGUUAUCGGCAUACAUUGAUGGGGAUUUUCAUUAACAAUUUUUAUUUCUGUGAAUUGCAGAGCCAUCACCCCC